AUACGGAGGAUCCAAGCGUUAUCCGGAUUUAUUGGGUUUAAAGGGUGCGUAGGUGGUUUGAUAAGUCAGCGGUGAAAGUUUGCAGCUUAACUGUAAAAAUGCCGUUGAAACUGUCGGACUUGAGUGUAAAUGAGGUAGGCGGAAUGCGUGGUGUAGCGGUGAAAUGCUUAGAUAUCACGAAGAACUCCAAUUGCGAAGGCAGCUUACCGGGGUACAACUGACGCUGAGGCACGAAAGUGUGGGUAUC
This 247-nucleotide ribosomal RNA is filed under the name uncultured bacterium. Its description in RNAcentral is "partial 16S ribosomal RNA". It matches the Rfam family "Bacterial small subunit ribosomal RNA", at positions 523 to 769 of the family's 1533-position model. The record is from RNAcentral.